This is a long non-coding RNA of Rhincodon typus (whale shark), 246 nucleotides long. RefSeq lists it as uncharacterized. The transcript is spliced from 3 exons. Lineage: Eukaryota; Metazoa; Chordata; Chondrichthyes; Orectolobiformes; Rhincodontidae. The record is from RefSeq and is a predicted model, not a curated record.
AUGAUGCUUUACACUUGGGUGUAUAAGGAGCUCAAGAAAGAAUUUCUGUGGACAUGAAAACACUUCCUUUAAUCCUCAGCAAACAAUUCAAAAUAUCUCCUCCAACACUGGAAUCUGCAUGAAAACGAACAUGAACCUCAAGAGAAAGAGAAAAUGCAAUGGUGGAGGAAUUUCAAGACUAGGUGGCACAUUUUUAAGAGAUUUGCAAACAAGCACCUUGGAGUUACAAAGGGGUGAUGUUUCAUU